Molecule: ribosomal RNA, 1271 nt
Filed under: Enterococcus hirae
Lineage: Bacteria; Bacillati; Bacillota; Bacilli; Lactobacillales; Enterococcaceae
Description: bacterial SSU rRNA
Rfam family: Bacterial small subunit ribosomal RNA
Source: RNAcentral
CUCACCAAGGCGACGAUGCAUAGCCGACCUGAGAGGGUGAUCGGCCACAUUGGGACUGAGACACGGCCCAAACUCCUACGGGAGGCAGCAGUAGGGAAUCUUCGGCAAUGGACGAAAGUCUGACCGAGCAACGCCGCGUGAGUGAAGAAGGUUUUCGGAUCGUAAAACUCUGUUGUUAGAGAAGAACAAGGAUGAGAGUAACUGUUCAUCCCUUGACGGUAUCUAACCAGAAAGCCACGGCUAACUACGUGCCAGCAGCCGCGGUAAUACGUAGGUGGCAAGCGUUGUCCGGAUUUAUUGGGCGUAAAGCGAGCGCAGGCGGUUUCUUAAGUCUGAUGUGAAAGCCCCCGGCUCAACCGGGGAGGGUCAUUGGAAACUGGGAGACUUGAGUGCAGAAGAGGAGAGUGGAAUUCCAUGUGUAGCGGUGAAAUGCGUAGAUAUAUGGAGGAACACCAGUGGCGAAGGCGGCUCUCUGGUCUGUAACUGACGCUGAGGCUCGAAAGCGUGGGGAGCAAACAGGAUUAGAUACCCUGGUAGUCCACGCCGUAAACGAUGAGUGCUAAGUGUUGGAGGGUUUCCGCCCUUCAGUGCUGCAGCUAACGCAUUAAGCACUCCGCCUGGGGAGUACGACCGCAAGGUUGAAACUCAAAGGAAUUGACGGGGGCCCGCACAAGCGGUGGAGCAUGUGGUUUAAUUCGAAGCAACGCGAAGAACCUUACCAGGUCUUGACAUCCUUUGACCACUCUAGAGAUAGAGCUUCCCCUUCGGGGGCAAAGUGACAGGUGGUGCAUGGUUGUCGUCAGCUCGUGUCGUGAGAUGUUGGGUUAAGUCCCGCAACGAGCGCAACCCUUAUUGUUAGUUGCCAUCAUUUAGUUGGGCACUCUAGCAAGACUGCCGGUGACAAACCGGAGGAAGGUGGGGAUGACGUCAAAUCAUCAUGCCCCUUAUGACCUGGGCUACACACGUGCUACAAUGGGAAGUACAACGAGUCGCAAAGUCGCGAGGCUAAGCUAAUCUCUUAAAGCUUCUCUCAGUUCGGAUUGUAGGCUGCAACUCGCCUACAUGAAGCCGGAAUCGCUAGUAAUCGCGGAUCAGCACGCCGCGGUGAAUACGUUCCCGGGCCUUGUACACACCGCCCGUCACACCACGAGAGUUUGUAACACCCGAAGUCGGUGAGGUAACCUUUUGGAGCCAGCCGCCUAAGGUGGGAUAGAUGAUUGGGGUGAAGUCGUAACAAGGUAGCCGUAUCGGAAGGUGCGGCUGGAUCACCU